GUCAGGGUGAGUCUCUGUAGAGCUUCCUGGUGGUGGUAGAGGAUGACGACAGGGUGAGUCUCUGUAGAGGAUGACGUCAGGGUUAGUCUCUGUAGAGGAUGACGUCAGGGUGAGUCUCUGUAGAGGAUGACGUCAGGGUGAGUCUCUGUAGAGGAUGAGGUCGGGGUGAGUCUCUGUAGAGGAUGAGGUCGGGGUGAGUCUCUGUAGAGGAUGAGGUCGGGGUGAGUCUCUGUAGAGGAUGAGGUCGGGGUGAGUCUCUGUAGAGGAUGAGGUCGGGGUGAGUCUCUGUAGAGGAUGAGGUCGGGGUGAGUCUCUGUAGAGGAUGAGGUCAGGGUGAGUCUCUGUAGAGGAUGACGUCGGGGUGAGUCUCUGUAGAGCUUCCUGGUGGUGGUAGAGGAUGACAGCUGGGUGAGUCGCUGUAGAGGAUGACGUCAGGGUGAGUCUCUGUAGAGGAUGACGUCAGGGUGAGUCUCUGUAGAGGAUGACGUCAGGGUGAGUCUCUGUAGAGGAUGACGUCAGGGUGAGUCUCUGUGGAGGAUGACGUCAGGGUGAGUCUCUGUGGAGGAUGACGUCAGGGUGAGUCUCUGUGGAGGAUGACGUCAGGGUGAGUCUCUGUAGAGGAUGACGUCAGGGUGAGUCUCUGUAGAGGAUGACGUCAGGGUGAGUCUCUGUAGAGGAUGACGUCAGGGUGAGUCUCUGUAGAGGAUGACGUCAGGGUGAGUCUCUGUAGAGGAUGACGUCAGGGUGAGUCUCUGUAGAGGAUGACGUCAGGGUGAGUCUCUGUAGAGGAUGACGUCAGGGUGAGUCUCUGUAGAGCUUCCUGGUGGUGGUAGAGGAUGACGACAGGGUGAGUCUCUGUAGAGGAUGACGUCGGGGUGAGUCUCUGUAGAGGAUGACGUCGGGGUGAGUCUCUGUAGAGGAUGACGUCGGGGUGAGUCUCUGUAGAGGAUGACGUCGGGGUGAGUCUCUGUAGAGGAUGACGUCGGGGUGAGUCUCUGUAGAGGAUGACGUCGGGGUGAGUCUCUGUAGAGCUUCCUGGUGGUGGUAGAGGAUGACGGCUGGGUGAGUCUCUGUAGAGGAUGACGUCAGGGUGAGUCUCUGUAGAGCUUCCUGGUGGGGGUAGAGGAUGACGUCAGGGUGAGUCUCUGUAGAGGAUGACGUUGGGGUGAGUCUCUGUAGAGGAUGACGUUGGGGUGAGUCUCUGUAGAGGAUGACUUCGGGGUGAGUCUCUGUAGAGGAUGACUUCGGGGUGAGUCUCUGUAGAGGAUGACGUCGGGGUGAGUCUCUGUAGAGGAUGACGUCAGGGUGAGUCUCUGUAGAGCUUCCUGGUGGUGGUAGAGGAUGACGUCAGGGUGAGUCUCUGUAGAGGAUGACGUCAGGGUGAGUCUCUGUAGAGCUUCCUGGUGGUGGUAGUUGAUGACGACAGGGUGAGUCUCUGUAGUUGAUGACGACAGGGUGAGUCUCUGUAGAGGAUGACGUCGGAGUGAGUCUCUGUAGAGGAUGAGGUCGGGGUGAGUCUCUGUAGAGGAUGAGGUCGGGGUGAGUCUCUGUAGAGGAUGAGGUCGGGGUGAGUCUCUGUAGAGGAUGAGGUCGGGGUGAGUCUCUGUAGAGGAUGAGGUCAGGGUCAGUCUCUGUAGAGGAUGACGUCGGGGUGAGUCUCUGUAGAGCUUCCUGGUGGUGGUAGAGGAUGACAGCUGGGUGAGUCGCUGUAGAGGAUGACGUCAGGGUGAGUCUCUGUAGAGGAUGACGUCAGGGUGAGUCUCUGUAGAGGAUGACGUCAGGGUGAGUCUCUGUAGAGGAUGACGUCAGGGUGAGUCUCUGUGGAGGAUGACGUCAGGGUGAGUCUCUGUGGAGGAUGACGUCAGGGUGAGUCUUUGUAGAGGAUGACGUCAGGGUGAGUCUCUGUAGAGGAUGACGUCAGGGUGAGUCUCUGUAGAGGAUGACGUCAGGGUGAGUCUCUGUAGAGGAUGACGUCAGGGUGAGUCUCUGUAGAGGAUGACGUCAGGGUGAGUCUCUGUAGAGGAUGACGUCAGGGUGAGUCUCUGUAGAGCUUCCUGGUGGUGGUAGAGGAUGACGACAGGGUGAGUCUCUGUAGAGGAUGACGUCGGGGUGAGUCUCUGUAGAGGAUGACGUCGGGGUGAGUCUCUGUAGAGGAUGACGUCGGGGUGAGUCUCUGUAGAGGAUGACGUCGGGGUGAGUCUCUGUAGAGGAUGACGUCAGGGUGAGUCUCUGUAGAGCUUCCUGGUGGUGGUAGAGGAUGACGACAGGGUGAGUCUCUGUAGAGGAUGAGGUCGGGGUGAGUCUCUGUAGAGGAUGAGGUCAGGGUGAGUCUCUGUAGAGGAUGAGGUCAGGGUGAGUCUCUGUAGAGGAUGACGUCAGGGUGAGUCUCUGUAGAGCUCCCUGGUGGUGGUAGAGGAUGACGUCCGGGUGAGUCUCUGUAGAGGAUGACGUCAGGGUGAGUCUCUGUAGAGGAUGACGUCAGGGUGAGUCUCUGUAGAGGAUGACGUCAGGGUGAGUCUCUGUAGAGGAUGACGUCAUGGUGAGUCUCUGUAGAGGAUGACGUCAGGGUGAGUCUCUGUAGAGCUUCCUGGUGGUGGUAGAGGAUGACGACAGGGUGAGUCUCUGUAGAGCUUCCUGGUGGUGGUAGAGGAUGACGACAGGGUGAGUCUCUGUAGAGAUUGAGGUCGGGGUGAGUCUCUGUAGAGGAUGAGGUCGGGGUGAGUCUCUGUAGAGGAUGAGGUCGGGGUGAGUCUCUGUAGAGGAUGACGUCGGGGUGAGUCUCUGUAGAGGAUGACGUCGGGGUGAGUCUCUGUAGAGGAUGACGUCGGGGUGAGUCUCUGUAGAGGAUGACGUUGGGGUGAGUCUCUGUAGAGCUUCCUGGUGGUGGUAGAGGAUGACGGCUGGGUGAGUCUCUGUAGAGGAUGACGUCAGGGUGAGUCUCUGUAGAGCUUCCUGGUGGGGGUAGAGGAUGACGUCAGGGUGAGUCUCUGUAGAGGAUGACAUUGGGGUGAGUCUCUGUAGAGGAUGACGUUGGGGUGAGUCUCUGUAGAGGAUGACUUCGGGGUGAGUCUCUGUAGAGGAUGACGUCGGGGUGAGUCUCUGUAGAGGAUGACGUCAGGGUGAGUCUCUGUAGAGGAUGACGUCAGGGUGAGUCUCUGUAGAGGAUGACGUCAGGGUGAGUCUCUGUAGAGCUUCCUGGUGGUGGUAGAGGAUGACGACAGGGUGAGUCUCUGUAGAGGAUGACGUCGGGGUGAGUCUCUGUAGAGGAUGACGUCGGGGUGAGUCUCUGUAGAGGAUGACGUCGGGGUGAGUCUCUGUAGAGGAUGACGUCAGGGUGAGUCUCUGUAGAGCUUCCUGGUGGUGGUAGAGGAUGACGACAGGGUGAGUCUCUGUAGAGGAUGAGGUCGGGGUGAGUCUCUGUAGAGGAUGAGGUCGGGGUGAGUCUCUGUAGAGGAUGAGGUCGGGGUGAGUCUCUGUAGAGGAUGAGGUCAGGGUGAGUCUCUGUAGAGCUUCCUGGAGGUGGUAGAGGAUGACGUCAGGGUGAGUCUCUGUAGAGGAUGAGGUCAGGGUGAGUCUCUGUAGAGGAUGAGGUCAGGGUGAGUCUCUGUAGAGGAUGACGUCAGGGUGAGUCUCUGUAGAGGAUGACGUCAGGGUGAGUCUCUGUAGAGCUUCCUGGUGGUGGUAGAGGAUGACGACAGG
This 3699-nucleotide long non-coding RNA is filed under the name Salmo salar (Atlantic salmon). RNAcentral's name for it is "lncRNA (ENSSSAG00000099254.1)". The record is from RNAcentral. Lineage: Eukaryota; Metazoa; Chordata; Actinopteri; Salmoniformes; Salmonidae.